GACGAACGCUGGCGGCGUGCUUAACACAUGCAAGUCGAACGGAAAGGCCCUGCUUUUGUUGCGUGCUCGAGUGGCGAACGGGUGAGACACACGUGAGUAACCCGCCCCUGACUUUGGGAUAUCUUCAGGUAACUCGGGCUAAUACCGGGUAGGAGCUCCUGCUGCAUGGUGGUGGAUGGCAAGUUUCGGCGUUUGGGGAUGGACUCGCGGCUUAUUUGCUUGUUGGUGGGGUUGUGGCUUACCAAGGCUUUGACGGCUAGCCGGCCUGGGAGGUGGACCGGCAACAUGGGGAUGAGGAUACGGCCCAGCGUCCAACGGGAGGCAGCAGUGGGAAAUAUGGCAAAAUGGGCGGAGGCCUGAGGCAGCACCGCCGGGUGGGGGAUGACGGCCUUCGGUUGGUAAACCGCUUCAGCCGGUGACGAAGUGUUUGUGACGGUAAUUGGUAAAGAAGCACCGGCUAACUACGUG
This 468-nucleotide ribosomal RNA is filed under the name uncultured bacterium. RNAcentral describes it as "partial 16S ribosomal RNA". It matches the Rfam family "Bacterial small subunit ribosomal RNA", at positions 28 to 507 of the family's 1533-position model. The record is from RNAcentral.